Molecule: ribosomal RNA, 392 nt
Filed under: uncultured bacterium
Lineage: Bacteria
Description: partial 16S ribosomal RNA
Rfam family: Bacterial small subunit ribosomal RNA
Source: RNAcentral
AUACGGAGGAUCCGAGCGUUAUCCGGAUCUAUUGGGUUUAAAGGGUGCGCAGGCGGCCAUUUAAGUCAGCGGUUAAAUCGUGGGGCUCAACCCCAUUCUGCCGUUGAUACUGGGUGGCUUGAUUGCGGUCGAAGUUGGCGGAAUUCGUUGUGUAGCGGUGAAAUGCAUAGAUAUGACGAAGAACACCGAUUGCGUAGGCAGCUGACCAGACCGCAAAUGACGCUCAUGCACGAAAGUGCGGGGAUCGAACAGGAUUAGAUACCCUGGUAGUCCGCACAGUAAACGAUGAAUACUUGUUUUCGGCGAUAUAAUGUCGGAGGCAAAGCGAAAGCGAUAAGUAUUCCACCUGGGGAGUACGCCGGCAACGGUGAAACUCAAAUGAAUUGACGGGG